UACGUAGGUGGCGAGCGUUAUCCGGAAUGAUUGGGCGUAAAGGGUGCGUAGGCGGCAAAAUAAGUCUGGAGUGAAAGGCUACAGCUCAACUGUAGUAUGCUCUGGAAACUGUUUAGCUAGAGUACAGAAGAGGGUGAUGGAACUCCAUGUGUAGCGGUAAAAUGCGUAGAUAUAUGGAAGAACACCAGUGGCGAAGGCGGUCACCUGGUCUGUAACUGACGCUCAAGCACGAAAGCGUGGGGAGC
RNAcentral lists this ribosomal RNA (245 nucleotides) under uncultured Faecalicoccus sp. RNAcentral's name for it is "partial 16S ribosomal RNA". It matches the Rfam family "Bacterial small subunit ribosomal RNA", at positions 524 to 769 of the family's 1533-position model. The record is from RNAcentral. Lineage: Bacteria; Bacillati; Bacillota; Erysipelotrichia; Erysipelotrichales; Erysipelotrichaceae.